CGGCAGUCGGCUCCGGCCUGCCUGGGGGGAGCGGUUUGGUGUUGCCAACGCCUUUUUAACACUUCAAUGGGCCUUAGAGCUAACGGAAGCCAGCUGGAGGGACGGGAAACAUCAGCCCCAGGCAAACCAGCUGCAGCUUCCCCAUUUGAGAAGAACCAGCUGGAUUUCCAGGGAAGUGAACUGCCCUGACAUCCAUCCAGGUGACCCUUCCACGGAACAAAAGGAACCUUGGAAGCCAAGGAUGAUCACUCUCAACAAGAAAAACAGGAUCUAUAUUCCUUCACAGAGAAGCCAGAGUGCAUGAAACUCCAUCAAUAACCCAUCACCAAACAAAACUUAAGGAAAAUAAUCUUGCUGUGCUUAGAGCAGCCAGAUGAUUUCAGAAGGCAUUUCCUGCCCUAAAAUCUCCAAAUUUAGGGUUUUUUUGCCAAGACUACUCAGUCUGACCUCCCUAAACCCAGUUUGUAAGACGCAGCAUCUCAAGUGGCUUCUCUCCUGCAGUCCUCAGAUCCUUCAGUCUUUCUGUUUCCUCAGAGGUGCCCAUCAGCAUUAAUUAAGAAAAACGAGCCCAUUGAUUACACUGGGCUAAUUAUUUAUCCAUUUUACAAGGCUCCACACAUCUCAUGCACAUGUUUUUCUUGGGGCAAAGUCUGGAAGGACAUAAUUGAUAAAUUUGAAAAUGCAUGCUCUAAACAUCAUCACUUUGGUCACAAAAUUCAAGCAGAGUCUUCUGUGACCACUCAAUGUUUGGUGGUUUUUUAUAGCUAUGAACAGAAAAGGCUUUCUAGCUGCAGAAGCAGAGCAACAGCAGAUGUAGGCAGCCCAGGGUAUUUUAAACAAUUUGAGAUCCAAAUGAACACUAAGGCCAAGAGGAUGUUUUUCUUAGCGGAAGAAAUAGAAGCAUCCUGGAUUUUGUUUUCCUGCUAGUAGGUAUAAAGAAUAAACAGCUGCUUUUUGUUUCCCCCCAAAAUAUUUGCAUUAAGAAGAUUCCUUUUGCAAUGGCCGCAGCUUCUUUGCAAAUGAGGACCAGCUGCUUGCUUUGCUUGUUUAUAGCAGGACAUGCUUAAGGGAAUAUUUUUUGUUGGUUGUUUAUGAAGAUGCAGGAGCAGACUGUCCCUGGUAGGCUCCAGUUUGCAGCAUGGAGUGGAAGACUCCAUGUGUCUUACUACAGUUGUAGCUGUGAGUUGUGAAGGGGUAAAUGCCUAAUCCAGCUAAUUCAGGGACACUGGAUAAACUUAACAUCUGGAGCCCCCAGCAUCAGGACACAGAGCUCCUGGAAGGUAU
This is a long non-coding RNA of Calypte anna (Anna's hummingbird), 1284 nucleotides long. RefSeq lists it as uncharacterized. The transcript has 3 exons. The record is from RefSeq and is a predicted model, not a curated record. Lineage: Eukaryota; Metazoa; Chordata; Aves; Apodiformes; Trochilidae.